AAGCAGAAACAGGCAAAAAAAAUUUGCGUUUUAUUUUUCUUGGCAGGGGAAAUUGAGAUUAAUGAAAUUUAAUCGUGCUUUACUGCUCCUUUUAGAUUUCCAACAUUAUCCCAGGGCUUCCCAGCAGCAAAGUAGAUUGCUUCUGUUCUAGAACAAUGGGACAAGGUCACCCUAACCCUCAGAACAUGAGGAAAAUCCCCAAGUCUUCAAAGAGUUGGAAGAUCUCCAUAGACUCAGUUCUUGUCCUAGUUUGUCCUCAUGAUUUGCC
Molecule: long non-coding RNA, 268 nt
Filed under: Bos taurus (domestic cattle)
Lineage: Eukaryota; Metazoa; Chordata; Mammalia; Artiodactyla; Bovidae
Description: long non-coding RNA NONBTAT011521
Source: RNAcentral